CUGGCUCAGGAUGAACGCUAGCUACAGGCUUAACACAUAGCAAGUCGAGGGGCAGCAUUGGGAUAGCUGCUAUCCAGAUGCGACCGCGCACGGGUGAGUAACGCGUAUCCAACCUCCCCAUAGUAGGGCACAGCCCGGCGAAAGUCGGAUUAAUUCCCUAUGUUGUCCAGAGAGGACAUCUGACCUGGACGAAAGAUUCAUCGCUAUGGGAUGGGGGAUGCGUCUGAUUAGGUUGCAGGCGGGGUAACGGCCCACCUGGCCGACGAUCAGUAGGGGUUCUGAGAGGAAGGUCCCCCACAUUGGAACUGAGACACGGUCCAAACUCCUACGGGAGGCAGCAGUGAGGAAUAUUGGUCAAUGGACGGAAGUCUGAACCAGCCAAGUAGCGUGACAGGAUGACGGCCCUAUGGGUUGUAAACUGCUUUUAUCAGGGAAUAAAGUGAGGCACGCGUGUCCUUUUUGUAUGUACCUGAUGAAUAAGGACCGGCUAAUUCCGUGCCAGCCGCCGC
RNAcentral lists this ribosomal RNA (509 nucleotides) under uncultured bacterium. RNAcentral's name for it is "bacterial SSU rRNA". It matches the Rfam family "Bacterial small subunit ribosomal RNA", at positions 19 to 518 of the family's 1533-position model. The record is from RNAcentral.